GGGAGGCAGCAGUGAGGAAUUUUCUGCAAUGGGUGAAAGCCUGACAGAGCAAUACCGCGUGGAGGAUGAAGGGUUUUGGCCUGUAAUCUCCUUUUCUCAUUGAAGAAAAUUUGACGGUAUUUGAGGAAUAAGCAUCGGCUAAUUUCGUGCCAGCAGCCGCGGUAAUACGAGAGAUGCGAGCGUUAUCCGGAAUUAUUGGGUGUAAAGCGUCUGUAGGUGGUCGAGUGUGUUUAAUGUUAAAGAUUAAAGCUUAACUUUAAAAAGGCAUUAAAAACUACUGGACUUGAGUAUGAUAGAGGUAAAGGGAAUUCCCAGUGUAGCGGUGAAAUGCGUAGAGAUUGGGAAGAACACCAAUGGCGAAAGCACUUUACUAGGUUAAUACUGACACUGAGAGACGAGAGCUAAGGGAGCAAACAGGAUUAGAUACCCUGGUAU
Molecule: ribosomal RNA, 435 nt
Filed under: uncultured bacterium
Lineage: Bacteria
Description: bacterial SSU rRNA
Rfam family: Bacterial small subunit ribosomal RNA
Source: RNAcentral